Molecule: long non-coding RNA, 2473 nt
Organism: Eriocheir sinensis (Chinese mitten crab)
Lineage: Eukaryota; Metazoa; Arthropoda; Malacostraca; Decapoda; Varunidae
Exons: 3
Source: RefSeq, a predicted model, not a curated record
GUUGGGAACCUGCCAGCAUCAGAAAUAUGUCGGGGGCAAGAAAUAGUUAGGAACCUGCCAGCAUUUUUUAGUUGGUAUAAAUGACAUCUAUUGGUGAGGAAGAGCUGUGAUUUUGCCACUCCUUCCCUUCUUUCCUCCUUCUCUCCUGUUCCCUUCUUUCCUCCUUUCCCUCUGCCCCUUCUCCCCUCCCUCCUCCCAGGCCCUCCAGGAAUUAUUCAACAAAGGCCAGAAAUAGUUAGGAAGCUGGCCGCAGUGUUUUUAGCUGCUGUAAAUGUCAUCUUAUGGUGAGGCAGAGCUGUGCCUUUGCUGUUACUCAUACUCCUUUUUCCUCCUCUCUGACCCUCCAGGAAUUUAAUGAAGGCAAAAAAUAGCAAAGAGGCUGCCAGUAUUUAGUUCAUAUUAAGUGACAUCUUUAGUGAGGAAGAACUUUGAUUGAUUUCCUUUUUCCUCCCCUCAAAUCCCUCCAGUAGGCUGAGAAGAAGCUCCAGAGCCUGGCCCCGGAGAUGGAGGGGCAGCGGCGGGCCAGGAAGCCCUCCAGCUCUGAGACGUGUGGCGCCACAACCAACAACUCCGCGUGCAGGGCGGGCUUAGAGAAAGGCUUUACACAGACCCUGGAUAAUGCUCCUGGUCUUGUUCCUCUUCUUCUUCUUGUUCUUCUUCCUCUUUACCUUAGUCAUGCUGCAUUAUGAAUCAUGUUAAUUAAUAUAUCCUCUUCUUCUUUACCUUAGUCAUACUGUGUUAUGAAUCAUGUUAAUUAAUAUAUCCUCUUCUUCUUUACCUUAGUCAUGCUGCGUUAUGAAUCAUGUUAAUUAAUAUAUCCUCUUCCUCUUUACCUUAGUCAUGCUGCAUUAUGAAUCAUGUUAAUUAAUAUAUCCUCUUCCUCUUUACCUUAGUCAUGCUGCAUUAUGAAUCAUGUUACUUAAUAUAUCCUCUUCUUCUUUACCUUAGUCAUGCUGUGUUAUGAAUCAUGUUACUUAAUAUAUCCUCUUCUUCUUUACCUUAGUCAUGCUGUGUUAUGAAUCAUGUUAAUUAAUAUAUCCUCUUCCUCUUUACCUUAGUCAUGCUGCAUUAUGAAUCAUGUUACUUAAUAUAUCCUCUUCUUCUUUACCUUAGUCAUGCUGUGUUAUGAAUCAUGUUAAUUUAUAUAUCCUCUUCUUCUUUACCUUAGUCAUGCUGCGUUAUGAAUCAUGUUAAUUAAUAUAUCCUCUUCUUCUUUACCUUAGUCAUGCUGCGUUAUGAAUCAUGUUCAUAUCAGACAUGGGGUAAUCGUAAUCAAUUACAAUUGUUUACAGUUUUUCAAGUAAUCGUAAUCAAUUACAAUUGUUUACAGUUUUUCAAGUAAUCGUAAUCAAUUACAAUUGUUUACAGUUUUUCAAGUAAUCGUAAUCAAUUACAAUUGUUUACAGUUUUUCAAGUAAUCUUAAUCAAUUACAAUUGUUUACAGUUUUUCAAGUAAUCGUAAUCAAUUACAAUUGUUUACAGUUUUUCAAGUAAUCGUAAUCAAUUACAAUUGUUUACAGUUUUUCAAGUAAUCGUAAUCAAUUACAAUCGUUUACAGUUUUUCAAGUAAUCAUAAUCAAUUACAAUCGUUUACAGUUUUUCAAGUAAUCUUAAUCGAUUACCCUCUUAUUUUUUUAAAAUAAUCGUAAUCGUAAUCGAAUACAUUAUAAAAGUACAACUGUAAUCGUGAUUACUUUUGUGAUUACAUUAGCAAAGUUUAGUUAAUAGUUUCUCGUACAGCAAGUAUGUACUCUAAAUAUCUGUAGUAAUUCAACCAAUUAAAUAUUCAGCAUGGUACAUGUGUGAAAUUUGCAAGUUCACCUUUCACUCCUUCCUGUAGUCAUGAUUAAUACAUCAUAUAAUCGUAAUCGUAAUUGAUUACACUUAAUUUUAUUGUAAUUGUAAUCGCAAUCGUGAAAAUAUGAAGUAAUCAUAAUCGUAAUUGAUUACAUAACAUAAGUAAUCGCCCCAUGUCUGGUUAAUAUACAGUAAAAUCUUGCUAGCUUCUCUUCUCUCCUCCUUCCCCUCCUCCCUUCCCCUCUCCCCUCCCUCCCCCAACACAUUCCCUACACAUUUCUCCUCCUCCCCAGCCUGAGCACCUCACCACAGAGCUGUCCAAGAUGCCUCACGUCCAAGAAGUCCCAGGUUUACAAGUGGAAGGGCCUGCUCAAGGAACUCCGCUGCUCUCUCCUGGACGGAAGGAACCAGGAGAUGGAGAGGAGAUGAAGAAGAAGAAGAAAAAGAAGAGGAAGAAGACUUAGGAACAAAGAACCCCGACAAAAGAUGAAGAAGAAGAUGAAAGAGAAGAAGAAGAUGAAAGAGAAGAAGAAGAAGAAGGAGGAAGUGAAGAAGAAAAGUUUGUCUUUCAAUAAUAAUAAUAAAAUAUAUGUUGAAAGAAAUCAGUUUAAAUUUUGUCCAUAUAACACACACACAGACAUAUACCCUCUCCUUCUCUUCUUUUCUUCUUCUUCUU